CAUUGGGAGAUGUGAACAAGAAGAUGAUCAGAAAGUUAAAGAACUGGGAGAUGGCAAGGUUUAAGUUCAG
RNAcentral lists this small RNA (70 nucleotides) under Arabidopsis thaliana (thale cress). Its description in RNAcentral is "ATSL183310". The record is from RNAcentral. Lineage: Eukaryota; Viridiplantae; Streptophyta; Magnoliopsida; Brassicales; Brassicaceae.